Molecule: long non-coding RNA, 1278 nt
Organism: Papaver somniferum (opium poppy)
Lineage: Eukaryota; Viridiplantae; Streptophyta; Magnoliopsida; Ranunculales; Papaveraceae
Exons: 5
Source: RefSeq, a predicted model, not a curated record
UUCUCAUUUUGUUGUUUCCUUUUUCUUUGAGAGCUGCGAUCUAAGAGUUCCGGUCCAAACCCUAACUCAGAAUCAGAAUCAGAAUUGAAUAUUGCGACUGAUUUUUGAAGUCAACGUCUUCUUACGAUGAUCAUCUCGACAGACAAGAAGAAGUUAUCGAUGGUACCAAAGAUGAUCCUGCCAAGCCAAGGGGUAAAAACAACAGCAGAAUUUGUUGUGCUCAUAAAUGAUACCAUGGGGUAACCAGGAUGUAUCCAGCAGCCGAGGAAGAUGUUUGAGCUAUUUUAGCUUAUAAUGCUGAUAACCUGGAAGGAACUGUGUGGCAAUGACUGAAUUUGGAUGGGAUGUUAAGCGCUCUGGAGGUCAAGUUCUUAAUGACAAGAUAUAAUUCCCCACCUUAAACGUAAGCUACUUCGUAACUCAAUCAAGCCAUGAUAAAUGUAGGUCAGUGUCAAUUUUUGUUGCCAAUAAAUAGAAUUCGUUAUUUCUAAGCCUAUUGUACUGAUUUUGCGCUGCAUUUAGUUUUUAUUGCAAGAGAAGCUAAAUGCAAUUGGGAAGUGUUCGAACAACUUUAAGAAACAUAAUAGUAGAAUGUAUUAUGUGGUUCAUUAAAGCUGUUAAACAGGCCACUGGAUAGUCUGGAUAUUCAUUAAAGCUCAUCUCAAACAUAAAGUCUUCUUUUGUAUGGAGAGGAUUGAUGGAAGCAGAACCGGCUCUGACAUUGCCUGUGAAGCUGCAGCAACAAUGACAGCCGCCACAGUUGUGUUCCGCCACUUCAAUCCAUUGUCACUCAAUAGAGGUUAUUACUCAUGCUAAACAGGUGUAAAGUUAGUGACCAAAAUGUGCUUACUGGUGCUACUGAGUGGUGGACCUGCUGCUUAUGAUAACUUUGUUAAUGAACGAACGAACCUGCAAUAGUGAUCCUCUUAUUAGUGUAUUAGCUUGACUGAAUGAUAGUCAUGGAGGGUAUAGCCAAGUCGGAGUGGCAGUUCCAGCACUUGAACCAGUCGUCACCAAACCAACUCCAACUCAAAUUCCAUCUCGGAAACCAAAAGCAUCUCCAGCUCCAGCCCCGAAACCAAAACCCACACCAGUUAAAAAGGCAAAACCAACUACAGGCACCAAAACCAAAAUUCACACUAAUUCAAAAGUCAAAACCAACUGUUUUGACACUUUAAUCAAUCUGCAGUAUGUUAUUAUAGUUUCAUUUGACAAAUGCUGGGAUUUAUAAAAGUAAUCUUUGGUCUCGGGCUGUCGAUUUUUGUUAGCUCAUAGGGU